This 780-nucleotide long non-coding RNA is filed under the name Nicotiana tabacum (common tobacco). RNAcentral describes it as "long non-coding RNA (NTAB_LNC003674)". Lineage: Eukaryota; Viridiplantae; Streptophyta; Magnoliopsida; Solanales; Solanaceae. The record is from RNAcentral.
CCAUGGAGGUGGUGGUUACUAUCCCUCCCCUCCAUCUCAUGGUGGAAGCCCUCCAAGUACUCCUAGUACCCCCAGUACACCAUCCACCCCCUCCACACCUACUAUUGUAACCCCACCUACACCUCCUACAAUAGACCCUGGCACUCCAAGUACUCCAGGGGGUGGUUACUAUGGUGGAAGUCCUCCAAGUAUUCCUACCCCUAGUAUUACACCCCCUACCCCUUCUACACCUAUCAUUGAAACACCACCAACUACUCCAGUCGUUGAAACACCACCAACUACUCCUACCAUUGAUCCAGGUACUCCAAGUGCUCCAGGGGUCUUUCCAAUUGACCCCAACUCACCACCUUUUACAUGCGAGUAAGUCAAAUGAAAAUUAUUCUUUGUUUCAUUUUAUAUGGCAGCAUUUGACUAGACAUACAAUUUAAGAAAGAGAAUUUUUUAACGUAUAUCUAAAGUACCUAAUGAGAACUUGUAAUCUUAAACAUAUCAUGACAUUUAUACAAUUAUACCAGCAUAUAUAUCAUUAACGGUGAAGGUGUGAUUCUGUUUAGAAAAGACUAGGAAAAGCGCAUCAUAUGAACGGAACAGAGGCAGUAUAAACUUUUGCACUUUUAACUACAAUAUGAGUGGCAUGUCCUAACAUGAAAUGUUAUGAACUGCAGCUACUGGAGGACUCACCCAACACUGAUAUGGGGCAUACUCGGCUGGUGGGGAAGUGUAGGCAAUGCAUUUGGUGUGGCUAGUGUUCCAGCUUUGGGAGCAAACAUGAACUUACUG